Molecule: long non-coding RNA, 3002 nt
Organism: Eriocheir sinensis (Chinese mitten crab)
Lineage: Eukaryota; Metazoa; Arthropoda; Malacostraca; Decapoda; Varunidae
Exons: 2
Source: RefSeq, a predicted model, not a curated record
UGUGUGUGUGUGUGUGUGUGUGUGUGUGUGUGUGUGUGUGUGUGUGUGUUACGAGCUUCUAAAACGACAAUUGAUUACGUUUUGUUGAGGUUUCGUACGUGUGUGUGUGUGUGUGUGUACCAGCGAUCUUGCAUACCCUAGACUUGCUGCUAGCGACUAUUGAUAAUCUGUUUAGUCCUUUUUAUAUGUAUUUUUGAGGUUGUGUUCUGAGAGUGAGUUUAGGUGAAGGAGGGAGAGAGAGAGAGAGAGAGAGAGAGAGAGGGGUACCAUAACAUCUCUCUCUCUCUCUCUCUCUCUCGGUUAGUUCGGCACAUAUUAAAGGUUUUACAAUAAAGCAACGAUUUCCAAUACUCUUCGGCAUUCCAUAUGUAAGCUCACGGCACCUUCGACACAGAGAGAGAGAGAGAGAGAAUGGCAGUGUGGAAAAGAGAAUGAAAGGAGGAAAAAGGGAAGGAAAGAUAGAACUGGAAGGAAAGAAGAGAGAGAAGGAAGGAAAGGAAGAAAGAAAGAAGGAAGAAAGGAAGGAAGAGAGAGAAAGGAGGGAAGGAAGGAAGGGAGAGAGAGAAAGAAUUAUAAAAGAAUAAAAUUGAGAGAGAGAGUGUUCAAGGAUAUACUAGUUGUCACUAUGUUUAACUAUAUCUGUAUUUCACAUUAGAGAAAAUUUUAAUACAAGGUUGUUAGCAUACUAUUAUUAUCAUUAUCAUUAUUAUUAUUAAGUUUGUGUUUAUUAUGUAUAUAGCUAUUGUGUGUGUUGCUAAUUAUGUGAUUUUCGAAGGUACCAAUUUGUGUUUUUUAUAUAUUUUUUUUUAUUUGUGUGAUUGUGUCGACAUUUAUCUCUGUUCUGAUGUUAUUUUUUUUUAUAUUGCAAGAAAAAGAUUGAUUUAUUUUUAACCAUUUCUUGUUGACGUAAAGAGUUGUCAAGUGUUGCCUCUGAUUUUGGUCGUCAAAUUGUCACUUUCGGUCGUCAAAUGUCACUCGAGUCUCAGUUGCCAAAUGUUGGAUAAGUUUCGGUCAUCAAAUGUUGCUUGUGUUUUGUCAAGUGUCACUUUCGGUUGUCAAAUGUCGCUUAAGUUUUGUCAAAUGUCACUUAAGUUUUGUCAAAUGUCACAAGUUUUGUCAAAUGUCGCUUAAGUUUUGUCAAAUGUCGCUAAAGUUUUGUCAAAUGUCACUUAAGUUUUGUCAAAUGUCACUUAAAUUUUGUCAAAUGUCACUUUCGGUUCUCAAUUGUCACUCAAGUUUUGUCAAAUGUCACUUAAUUUUCAGCUGUCAAAUGUCACUUUCGGUUCGUCAAAUGUCACUUCAGUUACAGUCGUCAAAUGUCACUUUCGGUUCGUCAAUUGUCACUUAAGUUUCAGUCGUCAAAUGUCGCUCCUGUCAACAAAAUUUGGGGCUGUCGUUUUGUCUCCCCGAAAGGUACUUACGUCGAGAGAUACACCUUACGUAAUGAGGACGAGAAUUGUCGAUAUGUUUACGAAUACGUUGUCUUAUGACCAGUGUGUGUGUGUGAGUGUAUGUAUGUGUGUGUGUGUAUGUAUGUAUGUGUGUAUAUGUAUGUGUGUGUGUGUGUGUGUGUGUGUGUGUGUGUGUGUAGGUAGGUCACUCACUAAUUUCCACUGAGUUGUUGCUAGUGUAUAUUCUGCAAACUGAGUCUCCCCGAUGAUAUUGUAUACGUUUAUUUAUCGAACAUUACAACAGAUGCUUCUCAGUACUCGCUUGUCUCAUUCUCACCCCCAUAGGACUGAAGAUCUCCGAGGAAUGACUCUUCUUCACCCGAGAGGUUAUCGAAGGGAAAUCUACGAGGGAUGACAAAACAUAACCAGGAUAGAGUAUAUAAGGUGUUUAGCGUACAUGGGAAGAUGAAUUCUAGCUUGGCGGACAUCAGAGGCAGGUGGAAAUGGCUCGUCAAGAACACCAGCCGUACUUAACCCAUCCGCUGCGAUUGUCACGGGUUUUGCCUUCACUGGUAGCCUGGUAACAUACACUCCCAGGUCUUUCUCUGCCUCUGUGGUGGAUAGUGGAGUGUUUCCCAUGUGGUAUUGGUGUGCUGGAUAUCCCUUCACUGGUAGCCUGGUAACAUACACUCCCAGGUCUUUCUCUGCCUCUGUGGUGGAUAGUGGAGUGUUCCCCAUGUGGUAUUGGUGUGCUGGAUAUCCCUUCACUGGUAGCCUGGUAACAUACACUCCCAUGUCUGUCUCUGCCUCUGUGGUGGAUAGUGGAGUGUUUCCCAUGUGGUAUUGGUGUGCUGGAUAUCCCUCCCAAGGUGCAGGACUUUGCAUUUUUCUUCACUGAAUUGUAGCAGCCACUUUUUGCUCCACUCCUGUAGCUUGGCGAGGUCUUCUGGUAGGAAAUCCGCAGUCAAGGGGCUAAACACAGGCUAAUGAAACUGCCGGGGGUUUUGGUACCGUAUAAACAAUGUAUUUUUACAGUUUUACAUGAUAACAAACAGCGUGGGGUUAACUUAGGAGGUCAUGAAAGCUGUGGACAUUGUGUUAGACCAAAUAGAGUUUUAGCAUCAUGUAAACUGCGCUUGCUCAAUGGGUAUUUUUCUCCUCCUCCUCCUCCUCUUGUUUUCCCUUUUUCUUUCCUUAAUUCUCUUUCCGCUUCUCUUUCAACCUUCUAUGUCCUGUUUCCUUUUUCCUUUUGUUUCUCCGUUUUCUUUCCUUCUUUCUACCUUUUGUUAUGUUCUGUUUCCUUCUUCCUUUUUCUUUCCUUAAUUCUCUUUACGCUUCUCUUUUUACAUUCUAUUAUAUGUCCUGUUUCCUUUUUCCUUUUGUUUCUCCGUUUUCUUUCCUUCCUUCUCUUUCAACCUUCUAUUAUAUGUUCUGUUUCUUCUUCUCAUAGUAAUGAAAACGACACCAGGCACAGCGGACACUUAAACAUUAUAGACUCGACAGAUUAUCAACAAAAACAAGGAAAUUUAACAUCUGAGACAACCACAACACACACACACAUACACACAGAUACACGCACACACACACACGUACACACACACACAUACACAC